GGGUGUUUGUGUGUGGGGGGUUAUGUUAAUCCGGGCCAGCAGGGCAUUAUGGGGGUGUGUUUUGGGAGUAUUAGGGGGAUCUACCAUCACUGUGCAGUUUAGCCACCUGAGGGGUUUUUGGCUGUGUUUAAUAGAUCGGGUUUUACUCUUCAAGCACUUUUAAGAGCUGUAAGCGAGCAGUAUCCUGUUAAUAAAGAGCUUCUUGCUAAGAGCAUGCUUCCUGCUUCUUCAUCUCCCUGCCGGUCCCGAACCCUAGGAGUGAAAAACUACAGGGGGCUACGUUGAGCCCAAGCUCUGGUGAUCACCCUAUGGGAGAAGAAGUGGCCAUUGUUACAGACAGAGCACGGAUCUCUCGGCCGCAAAAAUAACAGCUGAUGAUGAUGCUGAUUCUCACCGAGAGCCUGGUUUGGACCUUGAGAGCAACUAUAAUGAAACGAUCAAGAUACAGCGUCAAGGAGAAUGGCAACCACAGCACUUUCACAACAACAGAAGGGAGUUUUUCCUUGCCACCGCGCUCAUUGCAAAGUGAUCUGCAGUUUAAAAACUGCCCAUUUUGGUUGAGUUGGUCAUGGCUGGCUGUGUUAAUUGUUUCUAUUCACUCAGCUCAGUAUCUCUGCGUAGACUGUGUAAUGUCAUACAAAAAGAUAAUAAUAAUAAGAAAAAGAUGAAACAACAAUAUUACUUUUAUUAAAGAGUUGUACGUCCUGAGUCAGAAUAUAUUGAUAAAGUCCCAGCGCAAAACUGUAU
Molecule: long non-coding RNA, 747 nt
Organism: Astyanax mexicanus (Mexican tetra)
Lineage: Eukaryota; Metazoa; Chordata; Actinopteri; Characiformes; Acestrorhamphidae
Exons: 5
Source: RefSeq, a predicted model, not a curated record